UUCCUACGGGACGCAGCAGUGGGGAAUAUUGCACAAUGGGGGAAACCCUGAUGCAGCGACGCCGCGUGAGUGAAGAAGUAUUUCGGUAUGUAAAGCUCUAUCAGCAGGGAAGAAAAUGACGGUACCUGACUAAGAAGCCCCGGCUAACUACGUGCCAGCAGCCGCGGUAAUACGGAGGAUGCGAGCGUUAUCCGGAUUUAUUGGGUUUAAAGGGUGCGCAGGCGGCCUGUUAAGUCAGCGGUAAAAACCCGGGGCUCAACCCCGGCGAGCCGUUGAAACUGGCUGGCUGGAGUUGGAGAGAAGUA
This 305-nucleotide ribosomal RNA is filed under the name uncultured bacterium. RNAcentral's name for it is "bacterial SSU rRNA". It matches the Rfam family "Bacterial small subunit ribosomal RNA", at positions 336 to 659 of the family's 1533-position model. The record is from RNAcentral.